AUUGAACGCUGGCGGCGUGCUUAACACAUGCAAGUCGAUCGGUAACAGGUGUAGCAAUACAUGCUGACGAGAGGCGGACGGGUGAGUAAUGCUUGGGAAUCUGCCUAUUAGUGGGGGACAACCCGGGAACUCGGGCUAUACCGCAUACGCUCUACGGAGGAAAGCCGGGGACCGCAAGGCCUGGCGCUAAUAGAUGAGCCCAAGUCGGAUUAGCUAGUUGGUAGGGAACGGCCUACCAAGGCGACAAUCCGUAGCUGGUCUGAGAGGACGACCAGCCACACCGGAACUGAGACACGGUCCGGACUCCUACGGGAGGCAGCAGUGGGGAAUAAUUGGACAAUGGGGGCAACCCUGAUCCAGCGACGCC
This 367-nucleotide ribosomal RNA is filed under the name uncultured bacterium. RNAcentral describes it as "bacterial SSU rRNA". It matches the Rfam family "Bacterial small subunit ribosomal RNA", at positions 30 to 398 of the family's 1533-position model. The record is from RNAcentral.